Molecule: ribosomal RNA, 1443 nt
Filed under: uncultured organism
Description: partial small subunit ribosomal RNA
Rfam family: Bacterial small subunit ribosomal RNA
Source: RNAcentral
GAACGCUGGCGGCGUGCUUAACACAUGCAAGUCGAACGGAAAGGCCCUGCUUUUGUGGGGUGCUCGAGUGGCGAACGGGUGAGUAACACGUGAGUAACCUGCCCUUGACUUUGGGAUAACUUCAGGAAACUGGGGCUAAUACCGGAUAGGAGCUCCUGCUGCAUGGUGGGGGUUGGAAAGUUUCGGCGGUUGGGGAUGGACUCGCGGCUUAUCAGCUUGUUGGUGGGGUAGUGGCUUACCAAGGCUUUGACGGGUAGCCGGCCUGAGAGGGUGACCGGCCACAUUGGGACUGAGAUACGGCCCAGACUCCUACGGGAGGCAGCAGUGGGGAAUAUUGCACAAUGGGCGGAAGCCUGAUGCAGCAACGCCGCGUGCGGGAUGACGGCCUUCGGGUUGUAAACCGCUUUCGCCUGUGACGAAGCGUGAGUGACGGUAAUGGGUAAAGAAGCACCGGCUAACUACGUGCCAGCAGCCGCGGUGAUACGUAGGGUGCGAGCGUUGUCCGGAUUUAUUGGGCGUAAAGGGCUCGUAGGUGGUUGAUCGCGUCGGAAGUGUAAUCUUGGGGCUUAACCCUGAGCGUGCUUUCGAUACGGGUUGACUUGAGGAAGGUAGGGGAGAAUGGAAUUCCUGGUGGAGCGGUGGAAUGCGCAGAUAUCAGGAGGAACACCAGUGGCGAAGGCGGUUCUCUGGGCCUUUCCUGACGCUGAGGAGCGAAAGCGUGGGGAGCGAACAGGCUUAGAUACCCUGGUAGUCCACGCUGUAAACGGUGGGUACUAGGUGUGGGGUCCAUUCCACGGGUUCCGUGCCGUAGCUAACGCUUUAAGUACCCCGCCUGGGGAGUACGGCCGCAAGGCUAAAACUCAAAGGAAUUGACGGGGCCCCGCACAAGCGGCGGAGCAUGCGGAUUAAUUCGAUGCAACGCGUAGAACCUUACCUGGGUUUGACAUGGAUCGGGAGUGCUCAGAGAUGGGUGUGCCUCUUUUGGGGUCGGUUCACAGGUGGUGCAUGGCUGUCGUCAGCUCGUGUCGUGAGAUGUUGGGUUAAGUCCCGCAACGAGCGCAACCCUUGUUCACUGUUGCCAGCACGUUAUGGUGGGGACUCAGUGGAGACCGCCGGGGUCAACUCGGAGGAAGGUGGGGAUGACGUCAAGUCAUCAUGCCCCUUAUGUCCAGGGCUUCACGCAUGCUACAAUGGCUGGUACAGAGAGUGGCGAGCCUGUGAGGGUGAGCGAAUCUCGGAAAGCCGGUCUCAGUUCGGAUUGGGGUCUGCAACUCGACCUCAUGAAGUCGGAGUCGCUAGUAAUCGCAGAUCAGCAACGCUGCGGUGAAUACGUUCCCGGGGCUUGUACACACCGCCCGUCAAGUCAUGAAAGUUGGUAACACCCGAAGCCGGUGGCCUAACCGUUGUGGGGGAGCCGUCGAAGGUGGGACUGGUGAUUAGGAC